RNAcentral lists this ribosomal RNA (282 nucleotides) under uncultured prokaryote. RNAcentral describes it as "partial 16S ribosomal RNA". It matches the Rfam family "Bacterial small subunit ribosomal RNA", at positions 524 to 803 of the family's 1533-position model. The record is from RNAcentral.
UACGAAGGGUGCAAGCGUUAAUCGGAAUUACUGGGCGUAAAGCGCGCGUAGGUGGUUCGUUAAGUUAGGAGUGAAAGCCCCGGGCUCAACCUGGGAAUUACUUCUAAAACUGGCGAGCUAGAGUAUGGUAGAGGGUGGUGGAAUUUCCUGUGUAGCGGUGAAAUGCGUAGAUAUAGGAAGGAACAUCAGUGGCGAAGGCGACCACCUGGACUGAUACUGACACUGAGGUGCGAAAGCGUGGGGAGCAAACAGGAUUAGAUACCCGGGUAGUCCCUGAGCGGG